GAUGAACGCUAGCGAUAGGCUUAACACAUGCAAGUCGAGGGGCAGCAUGGUCUUAGCUUGCUAAGACUGAUGGCGACCGGCGCACGGGUGCGUAACGCGUAUGCAACUUGCCUCACAGAGGGGGAUAACCCGUCGAAAGACGGACUAAUACCGCGUACACUUGGGAUAGGGCAUCCUGACCCAAGGAAAUGAAAUUCGCUGUGAGAUAGGCAUGCGUCCCAUUAGCUAGUUGGUGAGGUAACGGCUCACCAAGGCGACGAUGGGUAGGAGAACUGAGAGGUUGAACCCCCACACUGGUACUGAGACACGGACCAGACUCCUACGGGAGGCAGCAGUGAGGAAUAUUGGUCAAUGGGCGAGAGCCUGAACCAGCCAAGUCGCGUGAAGGAUGACUGUCUUAUGGAUUGUAAACUUCUUUUAUACGGGAAUAACAAAAGCCACGUGUGGCUCCCUGCAUGUACCGUAUGAAUAAGCAUCGGCUAACUCCGUG
This 490-nucleotide ribosomal RNA is filed under the name uncultured bacterium. RNAcentral's name for it is "partial 16S ribosomal RNA". It matches the Rfam family "Bacterial small subunit ribosomal RNA", at positions 28 to 507 of the family's 1533-position model. The record is from RNAcentral.